UUGAGGACAACACAACAAGCUUAACAUGUGACUGACAACAGGCAAUGGCAUUCAUGUUCACAUUUUUCAUCUCUAAAUAUAUAAAUAUUUAUCAGGAAGUACUUUAUUAAGUAGAGAUUACUGAAAUCUUUUUAAUGCAAUCCCAUCUCCCUAGUAAAAUGGAGGACAAAAAAGCAUAAUAAGCAACACACAUGAACCUAGCAUAUCAGAGCAAUCAAACUGAACAUUAUGAACAAAACCAGCAACACAAUAAAAUUAUUACUUAACAUAACUUCUCUAAUCCACCACUAUCAAUGAAGACAACAUAAAUAAAUAAUAAAGCAAAAACCCUUAAAAAAGACUAACUAGAACCAAAAAAAUUCUCCCUUGCGACCCGCCCUUUAGAACUGUGACUCCCUUGUUUGAAGCUUUAACCCUUGAAAAUUGAAACCCACCCAAUUUCUCACUAUGGCCAUCACCCCCAUCUGCAUGGAUCGGCACCAAUUCAUUCCAGAAACAAAACUAAACAGGCCCAACAAAACCCAAAGGACAAAGAACAUUACAAGCAACUCACAUUGAACCUCACAUACACAAUAAAGCAGUUAAACUAACCUUGUUAGAAUGAAAAUGGCAACAAAACUACAACCUCGUAAAUUUCCAUUAUGAGUAGCACUGAAUGGAAAUAAAAUCACAGAGCAUAAACCUUUAAAAAGAAAGAAAGAAAAAACCUUGAGCCACAAACAUGACAUACCCUUUAAAACAAUCACUCCCUUGUUUGAUGCUUUAAUCCCUUGGAAUCCACCCAAUCUCGCAGAAGCCCAUCACUUCCAAAAGGAUUCACUUCUCUCUCUCUCCC
RNAcentral lists this long non-coding RNA (835 nucleotides) under Populus tremula. RNAcentral's name for it is "long non-coding RNA (PTRE_LNC002087)". Lineage: Eukaryota; Viridiplantae; Streptophyta; Magnoliopsida; Malpighiales; Salicaceae. The record is from RNAcentral.